UACGUAGGGGGCAAGCGUUGUCCGGAUUUAUUGGGCGUAAAGCGCGCGUAGGCGGUUAAUCAAGUCAGGGGUGAAAUCCUGAGGCUCAACCUCAGAAUUGCCUUUGAAACUGGUUAACUGGAGUGUCGGAGGGGAUAGCGGAAUUGCUAAUGUAGCGGUGAAAUGCGUAGAUAUUAGCAGGAACACCGGUGGCGAAGGCGGCUAUCUGGACGACAACUGACGCUGAGGCGCGAAAGCGCGGGGAUCAAACAGG
Molecule: ribosomal RNA, 253 nt
Filed under: uncultured bacterium
Lineage: Bacteria
Description: partial 16S ribosomal RNA
Rfam family: Bacterial small subunit ribosomal RNA
Source: RNAcentral